This is a non-coding RNA of Phrynosoma platyrhinos (Desert horned lizard), 72 nucleotides long. The record is from the annotation of a GenBank genome assembly. Lineage: Eukaryota; Metazoa; Chordata; Lepidosauria; Squamata; Phrynosomatidae.
GUCAGCAUGGUGUUGUGGUUUGAGUGUUGGACUAUUACUCUGAAGACCAGGGUUCAAACCCCUGCUUGGGCU